ACAUGGUCCGCUGGCAGGCCGGAGAGAGACACGUGGUCACCGCGUGGAAGCACGCAGAGAACACCGACCUGGAGUCAGAUUGACACCACUAAUGCCAUUAGUGAGAGCGAAGGAAUGAGGAUAACUCAGAUCCAAGCUCCACACUGCUACCUCAUAUGUGAUGAAUAAAUAUUCGAAACGUCUGAAUAAUAAACACAGCUGUCUAAACCAGUUUUUUCA
This is a long non-coding RNA of Siniperca chuatsi (mandarin fish), 219 nucleotides long. RefSeq lists it as uncharacterized. Lineage: Eukaryota; Metazoa; Chordata; Actinopteri; Centrarchiformes; Sinipercidae. The record is from RefSeq and is a predicted model, not a curated record. The transcript has 2 exons.